AAUAAUAAUUAGAUAGAUAAUUCACAUAUUAUUUCAGCAUACUAGCAUUAGGUUGCAAUUAAUAAUCAUUCAAAUCUUGUUAGCAAAGCAUCUUAGUCCUUUUUUUCUCAUUACCCCAUAACUAACUAUCGGAUAAUUAACGUUAUUUCUAACUUUUUAACCAAUGUAGUAGAACCAUAGCCCCUUCAAAUAUUAACGGUCAUCCUGGGACUGGGCUAACAGUAGGAUUACACGGCAAAAUGCUUCAACCCCAAUCUACUAACAUGUCCUUAGCUUCAACUCAACAUGUAGCAUUAACGUUCACUAAAAAUUCCAUUUUUCAACUUGGCAUAUUGUUACACAAAACCGCAGCAGAGUAAAACUAAAUCUCAUUAACAGAAAUACAUAACUAACUGCUCAAUAUUCCUAACUUAAUCACCAAUUUUGAUGCGCUAAUGAAAACAAAUAACUCCUAAGUCAGCUGCAACCAAAGACUUCACUGCACACAUACAAAUAAUUCAUUCGCUUUUCUACUCGUCCAAUUUUAAUUGAUUCGGCGCAUUUUCAACCUGAAAUUAACAAAAUCAAUAGUAAAAAUUAAUUCCUAUAGUUUCUAAAAUUCGAUUAAUUAACCUACAGCUGAUUCCAAAAAAGUUCAAUUAAGCGGAAACUCAAUAACUAACCCAACCUCAGGUUUUUCAUUCGACUAAUUUAUCAAGCAGAACAAAUAAAACAUCAGCUUGCAGUUUUCAUUCAACGGCACAAAUUAAGUUCUAACUAACAUAACAGGAGGUUUUGAAAAAUCUAACUUCUAGCUUCAUUUCAUUUGCCAGCAAAUUGGUGAUAACUAACUGGUUUGAUUUUGGAUUUCAUCCUACCUUAACCAAUUCCUUGACAGAACCAAUUGUGCAUUGAAUUCGGUAAGUUUUCUUCAUCUUUGGUCUUCCGUUUAUCCAGUGCGAGAUUAUUUCGAUCGGCGAAUUCAAUUCCGAUGAUGACUUGGACAUGGGAGAAACGAAGAGGUUCUUGAAGCGUGAACUCGGAGGUGUUCUUCAAGAUGAUUCAUGGUGGAGAUGCUUGUACGCCCGGUUUGGUAAAGGGGGCGAUGACGAUUGCGGCGAUGUCGAUCGUGCCGAUGACGUUUCCGGAUGCAAGGUAAUUUAUCGUUUUGUUUCGAUCUGAAAAGGAAGAUUAUGGAAGGCACAUAGGUUAGAAACGCGGCGUGAUUGAGGUAUUGUGAUGUUUGGAGUGCCGGACCGGGUUCGUUGAUGUUUGUA
RNAcentral lists this long non-coding RNA (1256 nucleotides) under Lathyrus oleraceus (garden pea). RNAcentral describes it as "Pisum sativum (pea) long non-coding RNA (PSAT_LNC032844)". The record is from RNAcentral. Lineage: Eukaryota; Viridiplantae; Streptophyta; Magnoliopsida; Fabales; Fabaceae.